ACGCUCGACACCUAUGGGAGGCAGCAGUGGGGAAUAUUGCACAAUGGGGGAAACCCUGAUGCAGCGACGCCGCGUGAAGGAAGAAGUAUUUCGGUAUGUAAACUUCUAUCAGCAGGGAAGAAGAUGACGGUACCUGAGUAAGAAGCACCGGCUAAAUACGUGCCAGUAGCCGCGGUAAUCUGAGCGGGCUGGCAAGGC
RNAcentral lists this ribosomal RNA (198 nucleotides) under uncultured bacterium. RNAcentral describes it as "partial 16S ribosomal RNA". It matches the Rfam family "Bacterial small subunit ribosomal RNA", at positions 328 to 539 of the family's 1533-position model. The record is from RNAcentral.